RNAcentral lists this long non-coding RNA (464 nucleotides) under Lynx pardinus (Iberian lynx). Lineage: Eukaryota; Metazoa; Chordata; Mammalia; Carnivora; Felidae. The record is from RNAcentral.
UGUAAGUAAAAGAGUGGCAAAGCAUGCUGGGAGGUGAGUGAGUUUUUCGUCCAUGGAAGUGUGAAAUGGCAAACAGGUGAAUGUCCAAUUACACUGUUAUCUGAACUGUGUGACUUUUCUUGUCUUUUAUUUCAGCAUCCAAGAUACAUUGGUUGUUUGCUUAACCAUCGUUUUCACAUGAGUCAUCUGUCAAAGUCUGGAAGAAAUCUAAGAUGUGUUGCAUUAAAUUUGAAGAUUCCUCCUGUUUAGAAGUGACAAACAAACAAAAUCAAUAACUACUCAUUAAUUAAGAAAACAGAGCAUUAUUUUAAAGCCGUACAUGUGGAAAACUUACCAAUAAUAAAAAUAACACCAAACACCCUUACAUAAUUCUUUACAGGUGACAAACAGUACGAACGCCAAAGAAGAGUGUUUUUCCUUAUGACCUCGUAAGUUCUUAAAAUUAAAAAUCAAACUAGCUUUAA